UACGGAGGGUGCAAGCGUUGUUCGGAAUCACUGGGCGUAAAGCGCGUGUAGGUGGUCUUUUAAGUCUGGUGUGAAAGCCCGGGGCUUACCCCCGGAAGGGCACUGGAUACUGGGAGACUAGAGUACCGGAGAGGAAGGUGGAAUUCCUGGUGUAGCGGUGAAAUGCGUAGAUAUCAGGAGGAACACCGGUGGCGAAGGCGGCCUUCUGGACGGCUACUGACACUGAGACGCGAAAGCGUGGGGAGCAAACAGG
Molecule: ribosomal RNA, 253 nt
Filed under: uncultured bacterium
Lineage: Bacteria
Description: partial 16S ribosomal RNA
Rfam family: Bacterial small subunit ribosomal RNA
Source: RNAcentral